This 229-nucleotide ribosomal RNA is filed under the name uncultured bacterium. Its description in RNAcentral is "partial 16S ribosomal RNA". It matches the Rfam family "Bacterial small subunit ribosomal RNA", at positions 568 to 796 of the family's 1533-position model. The record is from RNAcentral.
UGCGUAGGCGGCCAGGCAAGUCAGAUGUGAAAGUCCCGGGCUCAACUCGGGAAGUGCAUUUGAAACUGUUUGGCUUGAGUAGGAGAGAGGAAAGUGGAAUUCCUGGUGUAGAGGUGAAAUUCGUAGAUAUCAGGAGGAACACCGGUGGCGAAGGCGGCUUUCUGGCUCUAUACUGACGCUGAGACGCGAAAGCGUGGGUAGCAAACAGGAUUAGAUACCCUGGUAGUCC